Molecule: ribosomal RNA, 477 nt
Filed under: uncultured bacterium
Lineage: Bacteria
Description: SSU rRNA
Rfam family: Bacterial small subunit ribosomal RNA
Source: RNAcentral
AGGAUAAACGCUGGCGGCGUGCCUAACACAUGCAAGUCGAACGUCUCUUCUUUCGGGAAGAGGAGUGGCGGACGGGUGAGGAGCACGUGGGAACCUGCCCUUCAGUGAGGAAUACCGGCGAGAAAUCGCCGACAAGACCGCAUAGCCCUCUCUGGUGAGAGCCAGAGAAGGAAAGCUUCGCAAGAGGCGCUGGAGGAGGGGCCUGCGUCCGAUUAGCUAGUUGGUGGGGUAAGAGCCUACCAAGGCGUCGAUCGGUAGCUGGUCUGAGAGGACGAUCAGCCACACUGGGAUUGAGAACGGCCCAGACUCCUACGGGGGGCAGCAGUGAGGAAUUUUCGGCAAUGGGGGAAACCCUGACCGAGCAACGCCGCGUGCAGGAAGACGGCCUUCGGGUUGUAAACUGCUUUUCUUUGGGACGAGCAAGGACGGUACCAGAGGAAUCAGCCCCGGCUCACUACGCGCCAGCAGCCGCGGUAA